RNAcentral lists this ribosomal RNA (301 nucleotides) under uncultured bacterium. RNAcentral's name for it is "partial 16S ribosomal RNA". It matches the Rfam family "Archaeal small subunit ribosomal RNA", at positions 459 to 760 of the family's 1478-position model. The record is from RNAcentral.
CAGUCGCCGCGGUAAAACCAGCACCUCGAGUGGUCAGGAGGUUUAUUGGGCCUAAAGCAUCCGUAGCCGGUUGCAUAAGUUUUCGGUUAAAUCUAUGCGCUUAACGUAUAGGCCGCCGAAAAUACUGUGCAGCUAGGGAGUGGGAGAGGUACACGGUACUCGAUAGGAAGGGGUAAAAUCCUUUGAUCUAUUGAUGACCACCUGUGGCGAAGGCGGUGUACCAGAACACGUUCGACGGUGAGGGAUGAAAGCUGGGGGAGCAAACCGGAUUAGAUACCCGAGUAGUCCCUGUCUCUUAUAC